GAAGGCAUACCCAUAACGAUGUUUUUGGGUCUCGGUAAUUACAUGAAAACCAGUGAUGUUUUUUCGACGUGACGGCCCAUUUACUAAAAGAAAUUAAACCAUGUCACUAGAUACAUACAGUUGUAAGACAGAUAAAGUGUUGAAGGUUAAAUAAAAUGUAUACAAACGAUGAUAAACGAAGUAGUCAUCGCUGUGAGUGAAACGAGGCAAGAUGAAUCUUUGGUUUGUUUUGUUAUUCAUUAUUUCGUGUCUGGGAAUUAGCUCUGCGGAAUGUCCACCAGACCAAUAUGAUCCGGGUCCAAAUUGCGCCUUCGAGACAAUCUGUGCAUUACGAAGCGCGCACUCAAACAGGAAACACUACUGUGACUGCUGGUGCAAGCCUGGCCUCAUAAGGGACUCUAUCGCUCAUAAAUGUGUGAAAGAAUGCCCGAAAUACGAUGAAAUUCUGGACUAGUUACAUAAUUCCGAUCUCAUUACUGUUCGGGCGUAUAGAUGAUGUAAUUUUCUAUGUGAAAUCUUGAAUAAAUGCUUUAUUAAUUUGUUUA
This is a long non-coding RNA of Bombyx mori (domestic silkworm), 545 nucleotides long. RefSeq lists it as uncharacterized. Lineage: Eukaryota; Metazoa; Arthropoda; Insecta; Lepidoptera; Bombycidae. The record is from RefSeq and is a predicted model, not a curated record. The transcript has 2 exons.